GACGAACGCUGGCGGCGUGCCUAAUACAUGCAAGUCGAACGCAGUGGGGACGGGUGAGUAACACGUGGGUAACCUCCCAUAAGAGGGGAUAACACUUGGAAACAGGUGCUAAACCGAUACUGAUGGAUGGACCCGCGGUGCAGUAGCCAGUUGGUGAGGUAACGGCUCACCAAGGCCACGAGGCAUAGGCGACCUGAGAGGGUGACCGGCCACACGGGGACUGAGACACGGCCCAGACUCCUACGGGAGGCAGCAGUAGGGAAUAUUCGGCAAUGGGCGAAAGGCUGACCGAGCCAUGCAGCGUGUAUGAAGAAGGCCUUCGGGUUGUAAGACUUUCAGCGAGGAGGAACGUUACUCGCAGAAGAAGCACCGGCUAACUCCGUGCCAGCAGCCGCGGUAAUUC
This 403-nucleotide ribosomal RNA is filed under the name uncultured bacterium. RNAcentral's name for it is "partial 16S ribosomal RNA". It matches the Rfam family "Bacterial small subunit ribosomal RNA", at positions 28 to 526 of the family's 1533-position model. The record is from RNAcentral.